ACGAACGCUGGCGGCAGGCCUAACACCUGCCAGUCGAACGAAGUCUUCGGACUUAGUGGCGCACGGGUGAGUAACACGUGGGAAUAUACCUUACGCUGGGGGAUAACAUCGGGAAACUGAUGCUAAUACCGCAUACGCCCUUCGGGGGAAAGAUUUAUCGGCGAAAGAUUAGCCCGCGUCCGAUUAGCUAGUUGGUGAGGUAAUGGCUCACCAAGGCUCCGAUCGGUAGCUGGUCUGAGAGGAUGACCAGCCACACUGGGACUGAGACACGGCCCAGACUCCUACGGGAGGCAGCAGUGGGGAAUAUUGGACAAUGGGCGCAAGCCUGAUCCAGCCAUGCCGCGUGAGUGAUGAAGGCCUUAGGGUUGUAAAGCUCUUUCACCCACGACGAUGAUGACGGUAGUGGGAGAAGAAGCCCCGGCUAACUUCGUG
Molecule: ribosomal RNA, 432 nt
Filed under: uncultured bacterium
Lineage: Bacteria
Description: partial 16S ribosomal RNA
Rfam family: Bacterial small subunit ribosomal RNA
Source: RNAcentral